CGGGAGUAAUGUCUGGGAAACUGCCUGAUGGAGGGGGAUAACUACUGGAAACGGUAGCUAAUACCGCAUAACGUCGCAAGACCAAAGAGGGGGACCGUUCGGGCCUCAUGCCAUCAGAUGUGCCCAGAUGGGAUUAGCUAGUAGGUGGGGUAACGGCUCACCUAGGCGACGAUCCCUAGCUGGUCUGAGAGGAUGACCAGCCACACUGGAACUGAGACACGGUCCAG
This 227-nucleotide ribosomal RNA is filed under the name uncultured bacterium. Its description in RNAcentral is "partial 16S ribosomal RNA". It matches the Rfam family "Bacterial small subunit ribosomal RNA", at positions 106 to 334 of the family's 1533-position model. The record is from RNAcentral.